GGGCGUAUGGUGUAGUGGUAUCACUCAUGCUUUGCAAGUCUUGCCGUUUCACGGUAAAACCGGAUGUAUGCGGUCUAGGGUUCGAACCCCUAUGCGUCCA
Molecule: non-coding RNA, 100 nt
Organism: Mycena amicta
Lineage: Eukaryota; Fungi; Basidiomycota; Agaricomycetes; Agaricales; Mycenaceae
Source: the annotation of a GenBank genome assembly